UCCAUUAUGGUCUAGUGGUUAUAGGACAGCUGGCUCUCACCCAGCAGGCCCGGGUUCAGUUCCCGGUAACGGAA
Eurytemora carolleeae is the source of this 74-nucleotide non-coding RNA. The record is from the annotation of a RefSeq genome assembly. Lineage: Eukaryota; Metazoa; Arthropoda; Copepoda; Calanoida; Temoridae.